RNAcentral lists this ribosomal RNA (585 nucleotides) under uncultured bacterium. RNAcentral describes it as "bacterial SSU rRNA". It matches the Rfam family "Bacterial small subunit ribosomal RNA", at positions 338 to 916 of the family's 1533-position model. The record is from RNAcentral.
CCUACGGGAGGCAGCAGUGGGGAAUUUUGGACAAUGGGGGCAACCCUGAUCCAGCAAUGCCGCGUGAGUGAAGAAGGCCUUCGGGUUGUAAAGCUCUUUUGUCAGGGAAGAAACGGCUGUGGCUAAUAUCCACGGCUAAUGACGGUACCUGAAGAAUAAGCACCGGCUAACUACGUGCCAGCAGCCGCGGUAAUACGUAGGGUGCAAGCGUUAAUCGGAAUUACUGGGCGUAAAGCGUGCGCAGGCGGUUUUGUAAGUCUGACGUGAAAUCCCCGGGCUUAACCUGGGAAUUGCGUUGGAGACUGCAAGGCUGGAGUCUGGCAGAGGGGGGUAGAAUUCCACGUGUAGCAGUGAAAUGCGUAGAGAUGUGGAGGAACACCGAUGGCGAAGGCAGCCCCCUGGGUCAAGACUGACGCUCAUGCACGAAAGCGUGGGGAGCAAACAGGAUUAGAUACCCUGGUAGUCCACGCCCUAAACGAUGUCUACUAGUUGUCGGGUCUUAAUUGACUUGGUAACGCAGCUAACGCGUGAAGUAGACCGCCUGGGGAGUACGGUCGCAAGAUUAAAACUCAAAGGAAUUGACGG